Molecule: ribosomal RNA, 200 nt
Filed under: uncultured bacterium
Lineage: Bacteria
Description: partial 16S ribosomal RNA
Rfam family: Bacterial small subunit ribosomal RNA
Source: RNAcentral
GCAGGCUGCAACCCGCCUGCAUGAAGUCGGAAUUGCUAGUAAUCGCGGAUCAGCAUGCCGCGGUGAAUACGUUCCCGGGCCUUGUACACACCGCCCGUCACACCAUGGGAGCCGGUAAUACCCGAAGUCAGUAGUCCAACCUCGUGAGGACGCUGCCGAAGGUAGGAUUGGCGACUGGGGUGAAGUCGUAACAAGGUAUC